Molecule: ribosomal RNA, 654 nt
Filed under: uncultured bacterium
Lineage: Bacteria
Description: bacterial SSU rRNA
Rfam family: Bacterial small subunit ribosomal RNA (bases 1-542)
Source: RNAcentral
CCUACGGGAGGCAGCAGUAAGGAAUAUUGGACAAUGGUCGCAAGACUGAUCCAGCCAUGCCGCGUGCAGGAUGACAGCCCUAUGGGUCGUAAACUGCUUUUGUGCGAGAAAAAACCCCCUCUACGUGUAGAGGGCUGAUUGUAUCGUAAGAAUAAGGAUCGGCUAACUCCGUGCCAGCAGCCGCGGUAAUACGGAGGAUCCAAGCGUUAUCCGGAUUCAUUGGGUUUAAAGGGUGCGUAGGCGGAAUGAUAAGUCAGUGGUGAAAGCCUGCAGCUUAACUGCAGAACUGCCAUUGAUACUGUCAUUCUUGAGUACAUUUGAUGUGGGCGGAAUGUGUCAUGUAGCGGUGAAAUGCUUAGAUAUGACACAGAACACCGAUUGCGAAGGCAGCUCACAAAACUGUAACUGACGCUGAGGCACGAAAGCGUGGGUAUCAAACAGGAUUAGAUACCCUGGUAGUCCACGCUGUAAACUAUANAUACUCGUAUGUUGUGAGUACACUAGUAGACGUCCGUAACGACGAAGACGUUAAGUAAGUUACCGUUACCGUGGAGGUUACGGCGUCGCGAGAGAGAACGUUAAAGUUAGUUAGUUAGGUUACGGCGUUGGAGGACGUAGGACGACGGACGACGACGAACGGGAAGGUUAAGGAAG